UACGGGGAUGGCGAGCGUUACUCGGAUUUAUUGGGUGUAAAGGGCAGGUAGGUGUCCCACUAAGUUAGAAGUGAAAUCCUGCAGCUUAACUGCAGAACUGCUUUUAAAACUGAUGGGAUUGAGGACAGAAGAGGAGAGCGGAAUUCCCGGUGUAAGGGUGAAAUCUGUAGAGAUCGGGAGGAACACCUGUGGCGAAAGCGGCUCUCUGGUCUGUCCCUGACGCUGAACUGCGAAAGCUAGGGGAG
Molecule: ribosomal RNA, 245 nt
Filed under: uncultured bacterium
Lineage: Bacteria
Description: partial 16S ribosomal RNA
Rfam family: Bacterial small subunit ribosomal RNA
Source: RNAcentral